UACGUAGGGUGCGAGCGUCAAUCGGAAUUACUGGGCGUAAAGCGUGCGCAGGCGGUUCGUUGUGUCGGCGGUGAAAGCCCCGGGCUCAACCUGGGAAUGGCCGUUGAAACUGGCGAACUGGAGUGUGGCAGAGGGGGGUGGAAUUCCGCGUGUAGCAGUGAAAUGCGUAGAGAUGCGGAGGAACACCGAUGGCGAAGGCAGCCCCCUGGGCUGAUACUGACGCUCAGGCACGAAAGCGUGGGGAGCAAACAGG
This 253-nucleotide ribosomal RNA is filed under the name uncultured bacterium. RNAcentral describes it as "partial 16S ribosomal RNA". It matches the Rfam family "Bacterial small subunit ribosomal RNA", at positions 524 to 776 of the family's 1533-position model. The record is from RNAcentral.